AGUGGCGGACGGGUGAGGAAUACGUAGGGAUCUGCCUUUAAGUGGGGGAUAACCCGGGGAAACCCGGAUUAAUACCGCAUGAUCUCGCAAGAGCAAAGAGGGGGACCGCAAGGCCUCUCGCUUUUAGAGGAACCUACGUCGGAUUAGCUAGUUGGUGAGGUAAUGGCUCACCAAGGCGACGAUCCGUAACUGGUCUGAGAGGAUGAUCAGUCACACCGGAACUGAGACACGGUCCGGACUCCUACGGGAGGCAGCAGUGGGGAAUAUUGGACAAUGGGCGAAAGCCUGAUCCAGCAAUACCGCGUGUGUGAAGAAGGCCUUCGGGUUGUAAAGCACUUUAAGUUGGGAAGAAAAAGCUUCACCUAAUACGUGGAGCCUUGACGGUACCGACAGAAUAAGCACCGGCUAACUCUGUGCCAGCAGCCGCGGUAAUACAGAGGGUGCUAGCGUUAAUCGGAUUUACUGGGCGUAAAGCGUGCGUAGGCGGUUUAAUAAGUCGAUUGUGAAAGCCCCGGGCUCAACCUGGGAAUUGCGGUCGAUACUGUCAGACUCGAAAACGGUAGAGGGAGGCGGAACUCCAGGUGUAGCGGUGAAAUGCGUAGAUAUCUGGAAGAACACCGAUGGCGAAGGCAACCUCCUGGGCCUGUUUUGACGCUGAGGCACGAAAGCGUGGGUAGCAAACAGGAUUAGAUACCCUGGU
Molecule: ribosomal RNA, 700 nt
Filed under: uncultured Gammaproteobacteria bacterium
Lineage: Bacteria; Pseudomonadati; Pseudomonadota; Gammaproteobacteria
Description: bacterial SSU rRNA
Rfam family: Bacterial small subunit ribosomal RNA
Source: RNAcentral